AAUGAAUUGCCUGACAAAAGGAUUACCUUGAUAGGGUAAAUCAUACAAUUGAAAAAUUGUAUUCAUUG
RNAcentral lists this transfer RNA (68 nucleotides) under Potthastia gaedii. RNAcentral describes it as "tRNA-Ile". Lineage: Eukaryota; Metazoa; Arthropoda; Insecta; Diptera; Chironomidae. The record is from RNAcentral.